GUGGGGAAUAUUCCGCAAUGGACGAAAGUCUGACGGAGCAACGCCGCGUGAGUGAUGAAGGUCUUCGGACUGUAAAGCUCUGUUGUUUAGGACGAAAGUGCCUGUUGCGAACAGUUACAGGUAUUGACGGUACUAAACGAGGAAGCCACGGCUAACUACGUGCCAGCAGCCGCGGUAAUACGUAGGUGGCAAGCGUUGUCCGGAAUUAUUGGGCGUAAAGAGCAUGUAGGCGGAGAUUUAAGUCUGUUGUGAAAAUGCGGGGCUCAACCCCGUAUUGCGAUGGAAACUGAAUUUCUUGAGUGCAGGAGAGGAAAGGGGAAUUCCCAGUGUAGCGGUGAAAUGCGUAGAUAUUGGGAGGAACACCAGUGGCGAAGGCGCCUUUCUGGACUGUGUCUGACGCUGAGAUGCGAAAGCCAGGGUAGCGAACGGGAUUAGAUACCCCAGUAGUCC
Molecule: ribosomal RNA, 450 nt
Filed under: uncultured bacterium
Lineage: Bacteria
Description: partial 16S ribosomal RNA
Rfam family: Bacterial small subunit ribosomal RNA
Source: RNAcentral